GAUUGAACGCUGGCGGUAUGCUUAACACAUGCAAGUCGAACGGAAACGAUACUAGCUUGCUAGUAGGCGUCGAGUGGCGGACGGGUGAGUAACGCGUAGGAAUCUGCCUGAUAGUGGGGGAUAGCCCGAAGAAAUUCGGAUUAAUACCGCAUAAUCUAUUCGUAGUAAAGUGGGGGACUUUCGAGCCUCACGCUAUCAGAUGAGCCUGCGUAAGAUUAGCUUGUUGGUAGGGUAAAAGCCUACCAAGGCGACGAUCUUUAGCUGGUCUGAGAGGAUGAUCAGCCACAUCGGGACUGAGACACGGCCCGAACUCCUACGGGAGGCAGCAGUGGGGAAUAUUGGACAAUGGGGGCAACCCUGAUCCAGCAAUACCGCGUGUGUGAAGAAGGCCUGAGGGUUGUAAAGCACUUUCAAUUGUGAAGAAAAGUUAGCGGUUAAUAACUGUUAGCCUUGACGUUAACUUUAGAAGAAGCACCGGCUAACUCCGUGCCAGCAGCCGCGGUAAUACGGAGGGUGCAAGCGUUAAUCGGAAUUACUGGGCGUAAAGCGUGCGUAGGCGGUUUAUUAAGUCAGAUGUGAAAGCCCCGGGCUUAACCUGGGAACUGCAUUUGAAACUGGUCAACUAGAGUAUGGUAGAGGAAAGUGGAAUUUCUGGUGUAGCGGUGAAAUGCGUAGAUAUCAGAAGGAACAUCAAUGGCGAAGGCAGCUUUCUGGACCAAUACUGACGCUGAGGUACGAAAGCGUGGGUAGCAAACAGGAUUAGAUACCCUGGUAGUCCACGCCGUAAACGAUGAUAACUAGCCGUUGGGGGGAUUUACCCUUUAGUGGCGAAGCUAACGCGUUAAGUUAUCCGCCUGGGGAGUACGGCCGCAAGGUUAAAACUCAAAGGAAUUGACGGGGACCCGCACAAGCGGUGGAGCAUGUGGUUUAAUUCGAUGCAACGCGAAGAACCUUACCUGGUCUUGACAUCCUGCGAACUUUCUAGAAAUAGAUUGGUGCCUUCGGGAACGCAGUGACAGGUGCUGCAUGGCUGUCGUCAGCUCGUGUCGUGAGAUGUUGGGUUAAGUCCCGUAACGAGCGCAACCCCUAUCCUUAUUUGCCAGCACAUCAUGGUGGGAACUAUAAGGAGACUGCCGGUGAUAAACCGGAGGAAGGCGGGGACGACGUCAAGUCAUCAUGGCCCUUACGACCAGGGCUACACACGUGCUACAAUGGGAAGGACAAAGAGCCGCGAAGCCGCGAGGUGUAGCUAAUCUCAUAAACCUUUUCGUAGUCCGGAUUGGAGUCUGCAACUCGACUCCAUGAAGUCGGAAUCGCUAGUAAUCGUAGAUCAGAAUGCUACGGUGAAUACGUUCCCGGGUCUUGUACACACCGCCC
This 1377-nucleotide ribosomal RNA is filed under the name uncultured bacterium. RNAcentral's name for it is "bacterial SSU rRNA". It matches the Rfam family "Bacterial small subunit ribosomal RNA", at positions 27 to 1395 of the family's 1533-position model. The record is from RNAcentral.